AACGAACGCUGGCGGCAGGCUUAACACAUGCAAGUCGAGCGCCCCGCAAGGGGAGCGGCAGACGGGUGAGUAACGCGUGGGAAUCUACCUAUCUCUACGGAAUAACGCAUGGAAACGUGUGCUAAUACCGUAUACGUCCUUCGGGAGAACGAUUUAUCGGAGAUGGAUGAGCCCGCGUUGGAUUAGCUAGUUGGUGGGGUAAAGGCCUACCAAGGCGACGAUCCAUAGCUGGUCUGAGAGGAUGAUCAGCCACACUGGGACUGAGACACGGCCCAGACUCCUACGGGAGGCAGCAGUGGGGAAUAUUGGACAAUGGGCGCAAGCCUGAUCCAGCCAUGCCGCGUGAGUGAUGAAGGCCCUAGGGUUGUAAAGCUCUUUCACCGGUGAAGAUAAUGACGGUAACCGGAGAAGAAGCCCCGGCUAACUUCGUGCCAGCCGCCGCAGUAA
RNAcentral lists this ribosomal RNA (447 nucleotides) under uncultured bacterium. Its description in RNAcentral is "partial 16S ribosomal RNA". It matches the Rfam family "Bacterial small subunit ribosomal RNA", at positions 29 to 523 of the family's 1533-position model. The record is from RNAcentral.